AUGGUCGAGAAGAACAAUGGAUUGAUGAUGGAGCCAAUCAACAAGGACGAUAAGGACAGCCACAACAGUGAGAAUAAGAAGGCGGAGCUCAUCGCCGUCGGCCGCCAGCUCUGCAGGGAGAAGAAGAACGACAAUGCGUUGAUUAUAAAGAAGUCAACAAUGCCACCUGGUGUGCAAAGGGUCCUCAAGGUAUAUGUUAUCCACCAUUGCUAUUGA
RNAcentral lists this ribosomal RNA (216 nucleotides) under Triticum aestivum (bread wheat). RNAcentral describes it as "partial small subunit ribosomal RNA". Lineage: Eukaryota; Viridiplantae; Streptophyta; Magnoliopsida; Poales; Poaceae. The record is from RNAcentral.